Molecule: ribosomal RNA, 484 nt
Filed under: uncultured bacterium
Lineage: Bacteria
Description: partial 16S ribosomal RNA
Rfam family: Bacterial small subunit ribosomal RNA
Source: RNAcentral
AUUGAACGCUGGCGGCAGGCCUAACACAUGCAAGUCGAGCGGAUGAAGGGAGCUUGCUCCUGGAUUCAGCGGCGGACGGGUGAGUAAUGCCUAGGAAUCUGCCUGGUAGUGUUGGAUAACGUCCGGAAACGGGCGCUAAUACCGCAUACGUCCUGAGGGAGAAAGUGGGGGAUCUUCGGACCUCACGCUAUCAGAUGAGCCUAGGUCGGAUUAGCUAGUUGGUGGGGUAAAGGCCUACCAAGGCGACGAUCCGUAACUGGUCUGAGAGGAUGAUCAGUCACACUGGAACUGAGACACGGUCCAGACUCCUACGGGAGGCAGCAGUGGGGAAUAUUGGACAAUGGGCGAAAGCCUGAUCCAGCCAUGCCGCGUGUGUGAAGAAGGUCUUCGGAUUGUAAAGCACUUUAAGUUGGAAGGAAGGGCAGUAAGUUAAUACCUUGCUGUUUUGACGUUACCAACAGAAUAAGCACCGGCUAACUUCGUG